ACAACCCAUUGCUUUUAGCUUUAUUCAAUCAUAUGUUUUGAGUUGAACUUAGUUUUCUUGGUGUCCGUCACAAAUUCUGAAAUCCUCUUUUGAGUCCCCACUAUCUCAUAUCUAAUCAGAACCGUUCCAUUGGUAGGUGUUUAAAAUUGUUGGUCUCCACGGCGGCUUCUUACGUCGUCGUCGUGGAGAUCAGUAUUAAUAUUUGUUAUUUCGUAUUUUUCAUUUCAGUUUACUUUUGUCUUAGUAUAAACCACCUUGAUGAUAAAAUGAGCCAGGAAAAAAUUAUUAGUUGUUUCUUCUUUACUAUAAUGUUUAAAUCAGUGAAAUACGUUGUUUGUGGGUUUGGCUUGGUCUCCCCCUCGAUGCAAAUUCAACAGCUGAAUGUUCAUAUCUUUGCUUCAACUCCUCUAUUAGAUUCGUGGUUUGGAGAGAUUUAUAUUGUGCAUCGCUCAUUCGUGGGCAUACAAAUAUCGGUUGUUGGUUGUUGGUUAUUGAUUGCGAGUUUAUCUUCUACAGCUUGCAGAUGUGGCAAUGCUCUUCAGUGGUUCAUCUAUAGUUUGGUUUCUACAGUUUGGUUCAUUUUGUUCAUCUAUAGUUUAGUUCUCACAGUUUGGUUCUUUUUAUUCAUCUAUAAUUUAGUUUCCACAGUUUGGU
Molecule: long non-coding RNA, 654 nt
Filed under: Aquilegia coerulea
Lineage: Eukaryota; Viridiplantae; Streptophyta; Magnoliopsida; Ranunculales; Ranunculaceae
Description: long non-coding RNA (ACOE_LNC000079)
Source: RNAcentral